RNAcentral lists this small nuclear RNA (107 nucleotides) under Cervus elaphus hippelaphus. The record is from RNAcentral. RNAcentral also lists the same sequence under 1 other name. Lineage: Eukaryota; Metazoa; Chordata; Mammalia; Artiodactyla; Cervidae.
GUGCUCGUUUCAGCAGCACAUAUACUAAAAAUUGGAAUGAUAAAAGAAGAUUAGCAUGGCCCCUGCACAAGGAUGACACGCAAAUUCGUGAAGCAUUCCAUAUUUUU